AAGAUUUGGUACAUAUUUAUGAAUAUAUAACUGCAAACAAUAAUUUUGUAGACAUUAUUUUUUGAAGAAAAAAACUAUACAUUACUUUGAAUUUGAGAAAUAUGCAUGAAAUUUUUCAACGUGUGACAUGUAAUUUUAAAUAAAGUACCAACAAGUGAAAAAAGAAAGUAGAAGAAAGAAUUAAGAUAAUAAAUGAAGAUCUUACAACAUCCACCCAUCCACUUCUCCUUGUUUUAUGUUGCUCGAUCCAUCUUAAUUUGUAUUCAGGACUAAGACCUCUCUUUCUUCCCUAUAAGAUAAAGAAAAUGUAUAGAUAUAUAAGAUAUGAGAACAUGAAAUUAAUUGUGCCAAUAUAUAUGAUCCAUAUGAGAAUAGAUUAUUAAUUGUCUACUUAACUGUCUGUUAUCAAGUGGUUUCAACUCUCUUCUGUUCGUAUGGAUUAUUAAAUUUUAAUGGACACGAUUAUUAUUGAAAAAAACAGCUUUCAUUGGUAAAAUCUAGGUAUAAUAUUCAAGAGAAAAUAUGAUAGAUUAAAAUACAUAUUAGGCACACGUGUGCUUUUGGUGCAUAUAAUUUUUUGUUUUAAUAAUUCCUGGGACCAUAAAUACUAUUCAAGCAGCCAACAGUUGAAUGAUUUGGAUUAAGAAUUCACAAGUAAAUCAAUAAUUAAUAAUCUAUUUAAUUAAUUGGUCUACAUACAUGCAUAAAAAAUUGCAAAAUUAUAAGAAAAUGUUAAAUAGUGUUUUUUUUUUUUUUAUGUUAAAAAAAAGUAUAUUUAAAAGAAAACAUUAAAUAGUGUCUUCGAGACCAAUAAAUAUAUGAUAAAGUGGGCUAACAAAUAGUACUAAGAAUGAUCCAAUAAGAUACGUCCUAUAAGUCCUAGCUCAACUGACAAAAAUAUCAAAAUUGUUAGGCUGAAUAUCAUGACCCGGGUUCGAACUCGAGAUAUCACAAUUAUAUGUGAAUUUAAUUUCAGUAAAUAAUUAAUUAUCACUUCAUCUCAGACAAAAAAAAAAUCUAUAACAUACGAAUUAAUACAUAUAAUUUGUAUCAUCUUUCCACUUGAUAUCCUUCAAAAAAUUAAAAAGAAUAAAAAUAACAUGGACAAAAGUUGACAUGCUUGAUAGACUGAUAAUAAAGUGAUGUUAGCUUAUUUCUCUGGAGAUUUUGAAGUAAGUGUUUGACUCUUUGUUAUUUUUUUUGUACAAUGACUCUUUGUUCUUUAUUUCAGGCAACAUGUGAAAUUAGUACUACUUAUUAAAUAAAAUACCAACAACAGAAACUAGAAAGUACUACGAUUAAUUUUUUAUGAGGUUGAUUAUAUUAUAAAGUUGGCUAACCAACAAUUAUUAUAACCAAUAUUCUACAAAAAAAAAAAACCAGUAACAUACUUAUUUUUUUGAACAACCAGUAACAUACUUAUCAAUAAAUCUAUUUAAAAUAAUUAACCAAGUAUAUAGAGCUUGAAUUUCAGUGUCGAUUUUAAUAAAUGACUUUGUGAUUUGUGGAAACUUUUUGGGAUAUAUUUUUUGUUUGUGGUAUAAUAUGCAUUUUUUGUAUAUUACUGUCAGGUUUCCAGAAAAAGAAAAAAAAAAGACUCUGGUAAUCCUAUAGUUCGUCCGUAAAGUAAAAAAAAUUUGGUUAAAAAUUAUUCACCAUGAAUCGAACACGAUUCGUCCUAAAGUGAAUUCAUCAUUAUACCAUUUGAGCUCAAUGUCGUUUAAUAUGUCAUCUAAGUAACAAUAUUGAGAUAGAUAUAACCUCUGGUAUAUAUGUUGGAUCUUUGUUCCUCUUUCAAUAGAAAAAACUUUAAUCUAAAAUUUACAAGAAAAUGAAUGAAGAUCUAACAUUGUAGAAAUUGAUCUAUAUAUCAUAUUCCUCUUCCAUCAGAUUCAAGAUUAUAGUUUUAAUAAAUAUUUAAAACUUGUUGAUUUAAUCCAAACCUAACAAUUAUAAGUUAGAUUGACUGAGAUUAAAACCACAAAGUAAGGGGUAUAUAGAUAUUGAUCCAAGUUUUUAUACAUGCAAGAUCUAUUAAAAAUAUAACUUUCUAUCAUCUUUCCACUUGAGAUCUUUAGAAAAUUGAAAUGGAUCAAAAUAUAAAAUUUGACAUGCUUAAUUGCUAAGAAUGAUGUCACUGUUUCUAAGGCUACAUCAAAAAUAAAACUAAAAACAAAAUCCUGAUCCAGAUCCACAACCCUUCAUUUUUAUUUCAGGAAAGAUCUGAGUGUGUGAGUCCAAAUUUUUAGUAAUUGUGGUCCGAUCAAAAAAUAAUUUCAAGAAAAAAAAAAAGAAAGCAUUCAAAAUUAUAAGAAUUAAAGUUGAUGAGACUGAAAAUUAAGUUAUUAGAAUGAGUUACCUUUUCUCCUGCAAAAGAUUUCUGAGUAGAUGAGUCAGAGCACUUAGUCAUCUUUGUCUUCUACAAAGGCGCUCUAGUUGAUGGUUAAAGAGAAGGAUAACUGUUAACGUAUGCAAACACAAAGUUAAUAUACAAGGUGAGCUGCCCUAGAAAGUUCCAGAGCACUCUAGAAAAUCACUGUUAUAAUGCACUAUUUUUGAGCUAUAACUAAUCUAUCAUUUUAUUUCCUAAGUGUCUCAUUUUAUAGUUCAU
This 2611-nucleotide long non-coding RNA is filed under the name Trifolium pratense (red clover). RNAcentral describes it as "long non-coding RNA (TPRA_LNC012682)". The record is from RNAcentral. Lineage: Eukaryota; Viridiplantae; Streptophyta; Magnoliopsida; Fabales; Fabaceae.